AGCGAACGCUGGCGGCAGGCCUAACACAUGCAAGUCGAACGAACCUUUCGGGGGUAGUGGUGGACGGGUGAGUAACACGUGGGAACGUGCCUUUAGGUUCGGAAUAACUCAGGGAAACUUGUGCUAAUACCGAAUGUGCCCUUCGGGGGAAAGAUUUAUCGCCUUUAGAGCGUCCCGCGUCUGAUUAGCUAGUUGGUUGAGGUAAUGGCUCACCAAGGCGACGAUCAGUAGAUGGUCUGAGAGGAUGAUCAGCCACAUUGGGACUGAGACACGGCCCAAACUCCUACGGGAGGCAGCAGUGGGGAAUCUUGCGCAAUGGGCGAAAGGCUGACGCAGUCAUGCCGCGUGAAUGAUGAAGGUCUUAGGAUUGUAAAAUUCUUUCACCGGGGACGAUAAUGACGGUACCCGGAGAAGAAGCCCCGGCUAACUUCGUG
This 434-nucleotide ribosomal RNA is filed under the name uncultured bacterium. Its description in RNAcentral is "partial 16S ribosomal RNA". It matches the Rfam family "Bacterial small subunit ribosomal RNA", at positions 29 to 507 of the family's 1533-position model. The record is from RNAcentral.